RNAcentral lists this ribosomal RNA (506 nucleotides) under uncultured bacterium. RNAcentral's name for it is "bacterial SSU rRNA". It matches the Rfam family "Bacterial small subunit ribosomal RNA", at positions 29 to 524 of the family's 1533-position model. The record is from RNAcentral.
AGUGAACGCUGGCGGCAGGCCUAAUACAUGCAAGUCGAACGGCAGCACAGCAGAGCUUGCUCUGUGGGUGGCGAGUGGCGGACGGGUGAGGAAUACGUGGGAAUCUGCCCAGUCGUGGGGGAUAACGUAGGGAAACUUACGCUAAUACCGCAUGCGCCCUUCGGGGGAAAGCCGGGGACCUUCGGGCCUGGCGCGAUUGGAUGAGCCCACGUCGGAUUAGCUAGUUGGCGGGGUAAAGGCCCACCAAGGCGACGAUCCGUAGCUGGUCUGAGAGGAUGAUCAGCCACACUGGAACUGAGACACGGUCCAGACUCCUACGGGAGGCAGCAGUAGGGAAUAUUGGACAAUGGGCGCAAGCCUGAUCCAGCCAUGCCGCGUGAGUGAAGAAAGCCCUCGGGUUGUAAAGCUCUUUUGUCCGGAAAGAAAGCGCCGGGUUAAUACCCUGGUGUCCUGACGGUACCGGAAGAAUAAGCACCGGCUAACUUCGUGCCAGCAGCCGCGGUAAU